RNAcentral lists this transfer RNA (72 nucleotides) under Fomitopsis schrenkii. Its description in RNAcentral is "tRNA-Arg (ACG) (tRNA-Arg-ACG-2-1)". It matches the Rfam family "tRNA". From Rfam's summary of the family: Transfer RNA (tRNA) molecules are approximately 80 nucleotides in length. Their secondary structure includes four short double-helical elements and three loops (D, anti-codon, and T loops). Further hydrogen bonds mediate the characteristic L-shaped molecular structure. tRNAs have two regions of fundamental functional importance: the anti-codon, which is responsible for specific mRNA codon recognition, and the 3' end, to which the tRNAs corresponding amino acid is attached (by aminoacyl-tRNA synthetases). tRNAs cope with the degeneracy of the genetic code in two manners: having more than one tRNA (with a specific anti-codon) for a particular amino acid; and 'wobble' base-pairing, i.e. permitting non-standard base-pairing at the 3rd anti-codon position. The record is from RNAcentral. Lineage: Eukaryota; Fungi; Basidiomycota; Agaricomycetes; Polyporales; Fomitopsidaceae.
GGCCGCCUGGCGAAAUGGCAUCGCGUCUGACUACGAAUCAGGAGAUUGUAGGUUCGACCCCUACGGCGGUCA